GGGUGCGUUGGCCGGCUGGGUGCAUCGGCACGGGCUCUGGCCGUGGGCGCUGGCGCUGCUCGCGCUGGCGGCGGUGCGGUUCGGCCGCGCCCG
Molecule: transfer RNA, 93 nt
Filed under: Mycobacterium avium subsp. avium
Lineage: Bacteria; Bacillati; Actinomycetota; Actinomycetes; Mycobacteriales; Mycobacteriaceae
Description: tRNA-Arg
Source: RNAcentral